RNAcentral lists this long non-coding RNA (1243 nucleotides) under Phoenix dactylifera (date palm). RNAcentral describes it as "long non-coding RNA (PDAC_LNC014210)". The record is from RNAcentral. Lineage: Eukaryota; Viridiplantae; Streptophyta; Magnoliopsida; Arecales; Arecaceae.
AUGGUUAUUUCCUUGACUUCUUUAACGUCUUUAGUAAUGUUGGAUCCUUUGAGGACUCGUUUGGUUCGUGGGAAGCUUUUUUUUUUAUAGAAAUAUGAUUCUUGUAAAGCAUAUUUCUGCAAAGAGGAUGCCUGAAAAAGUACUUUUGUCAUGUUUGGUUAACCAUGAAAAAGUGAAAGAUUUUCAGAGCGCUUAUGUUUAGUUAACCAUCCACUUUUUUAAAAAAGUUGUGUGUAACUCCUAUUAUACUAUUAAUAAAAAUUAGAUUUUUAAUACUUUAGAUCAAAUAAGGAUAGCUGAAAGGUUUUUGUGGAAAAAAAUAAAAAUAUUUUGAUUUUUUGGCUCGCGAAAAAAUAAUUUUUUUAUGUUUCUUAUGAAAUUUUUUUUUAUUUGUUUACUUUUUUUUGUUGAUUAUUUUUUCUUUCCGUGAACUAAACGUAUUUUUUUUAAGAAUUAGAUGAGGCCAAUGAUUGUCUAGUUAUAAGCAGUAGGUACUUUUAGCAAAAACUAUAAAAAUAAAAAUUGAUGUGAUAAUUACAAGUGCAACCAAUAAAUGACAUCACUGUAAGAAGGGCUCUCAUUUUAAAACGAGGGUCUCCUAGAACAACGAGGCUAACAAUUGUGUGGCUAAAAGCAAUGGGCAAAAGUUGAUUGGAACGAAAUUUUGUUUCCAACGAAAAAAUUCAGAUUCAAAAUACGUAAGACAUUGAUUAAAUACGGAAAUCGGAUACCCUCGUCUGAUUUGUCUAUUAAAAGUACUACUGAUUCUCUGGUACUGAGAUGGUGAUGGAAUGACGUGAGAGCUUAGUGAGAACUACUACGUGGGUGAAAUUAAUUCUUCUCUCCCCAUCUUGCCUGAGCAAAAAAAUAAAAAAUAAAAAAAUAAAAAAGUUGAUAUGAUUUGUAUCAAAAAGUUGAUGUGGCAAAAUAAAAGCUGGAACCAAUCGGCAUCACUGUAAGGAGCGCUCACCUGGAUUUGUAACCAUUAAAAGGUUGUCUAAACACAAGGAAAUGGGUUAGUGGGGUGGAGGGCCCACCUUAUCGUUUUGUAUCUCAUCCAACUUGAGAUCUAAGCUUGGAUUGGCCGGUAGAACCCACAUGCGGAAAAAGGAAUGUAAGAAACAACCACUUGCAGGCUGAGCGAUCAUGGCAUCAGCGGAAGUUGAAAUUGUAAUGGGAAGCGAGAAAAGCAAGGAAAGUGAUGAUGGAGAUCACAGACUAAAAAGCUUCAGACCAGAGGCAA